Ribosomal RNA from Choloepus hoffmanni (Hoffmann's two-fingered sloth), 120 nucleotides. The record is from Ensembl. Lineage: Eukaryota; Metazoa; Chordata; Mammalia; Pilosa; Megalonychidae.
AUCCGUGGCUAUACGAGUACGAAUGCGCCUGAUCGCGUCAGAUUUCGGAAGCUAUGCAGGGUCGGGGCUUGGUAGUACUGGGUGGGAGACCGCCUGGGAAUACCGGGUGUGCAGUGUUUU